CAGUCGCCACGGUAAUACAGAGGAUGCAAGCGUUAUCCGGAAUGAUUGGGCGUAAAGCGUCUGUAGGUGGCUUUUCAAGUCCACCGUCAAAUCCCCGGGCUCAACCCUGGACAGGCAGUGGAAACUACCAAGCUGGAGUACGGUAGGGACAGAGGGAAUUUCCGGUGGAGCGGUGAAAUGCGUUGAGAUCGGAAAGAACACCAACGAUGAAAGCACUCUGCUGGGCCGACACUGAUACUGAGAGACGAAAGAUAGGGGAGCAAAUGGGAUUAGAUACCCCUGUAGUCCCUGUCUCUUAUAA
This 301-nucleotide ribosomal RNA is filed under the name uncultured bacterium. RNAcentral's name for it is "partial 16S ribosomal RNA". It matches the Rfam family "Bacterial small subunit ribosomal RNA", at positions 509 to 808 of the family's 1533-position model. The record is from RNAcentral.